Molecule: ribosomal RNA, 862 nt
Filed under: uncultured bacterium
Lineage: Bacteria
Description: bacterial SSU rRNA
Rfam family: Bacterial small subunit ribosomal RNA
Source: RNAcentral
AGAGUUUGAUCCUGGCUCAGGACGAACGCUGGCGGCACGCUUAACACAUGCAAGUCGAACGGAGUUAAACGAGAGCUUGCUCUUGUUUAACUUAGUGGCGGACGGGUGAGUAACACGUGAGCAACCUGCCUUUAAGAGAGGGAUAACAGUCUGAAAAGACUGCUAAUACCUCAUAAUAUAACGAAGCCGCAUGACUUUGUUAUCAAAGAUUUAUCGCUUAAAGAUGGGCUCGCGUCUGAUUAGCUUGUUGGUGAGGUAACGGCCCACCAAGGCGACGAUCAGUAGCCGUACUGAGAGGUAGAUCGGCCACAUUGGGACUGAGACACGGCCCAGACUCCUACGGGAGGCAGCAGUGGGGAAUAUUGCACAAUGGAGGAAACUCUGAUGCAGCGAUGCCGCGUGAGGGAAGAAGGUUUUCGGAUUGUAAACCUCAGUCUUCAGGGACGAUAAUGACGGUACCUGAGGAGGAAGCUCCGGCUAACUACGUGCCAGCAGCCGCGGUAAUACGUAGGGAGCAAGCGUUGUCCGGAAUUACUGGGUGUAAAGGGAGUGUAGGCGGGAUGGUAAGUUAGGUGUGAAAUCUAUGGGCUCAACCCAUAAAUUGCACUUAAAACUGCUGUUCUUGAGUGAAGUAGAGGUUAGUGGAAUUCCUAGUGUAGCGGUGAAAUGCGUAGAUAUUAGGAGGAACAUCAGUGGCAAAGGCGGCUAACUGGGCUUUUACUGACGCUGAGGCUCGAAAGCGUGGGGAGCAAACAGGAUUAGAUACCCUGGUAGUCCACGCUGUAAACGAUGAUUACUAGGUGUGGGGGAGGCUGACCCUUUUCCGUGCCGCAGUUAACACAAUAAGUAAUCCACCUGGGGA